GACGAACGCUGGCGGCGUGCUUAACACAUGCAAGUCGAACGGACAGGCCCUGCUUUUGUGGGGUGCUCGAGUGGCGAACGGGUGAGUAACACGUGAGUAACCUGCCCUUGACUUUGGGAUAACUUCAGGAAACUGGGGCUAAUACCGGAUAGGAGCUCCUGCUGCAUGGUGGGGGUUGGAAAGUUUCGGCGGUUGGGGAUGGACUCGCGGCUUAUCAGCUUGUUGGUGGGGUAGUGGCUUACCAAGGCUUUGACGGGUAGCCGGCCUGAGAGGGUGACCGGCCACAGUGGGACUGAGAUACGGCCCAGACUGGUACGGGAGGCAGCAGUGGGGAAUAUUGCACAAUGGGCGGAAGCCUGAUGCAGCGACGCCGCGUGCGGGAUGACGGCCUUCGGGUUGUAAACCGCUUUCGCCGGUGACGAAGCGUGAGUGACGGUAAUGGGUAAAGAAGCACCGGCUAACUACGUG
RNAcentral lists this ribosomal RNA (468 nucleotides) under uncultured bacterium. RNAcentral's name for it is "partial 16S ribosomal RNA". It matches the Rfam family "Bacterial small subunit ribosomal RNA", at positions 28 to 507 of the family's 1533-position model. The record is from RNAcentral.